UGAGAGAUUAAGAACAAUGUGUGCAAAUUAUACUAAUAACAAAGACAUGGCAGCUUUCCUAGAUGUGAUAUCUCCUGGAAAUUUCGACAAUGUGUUGUUCAAGAAUUUAAUGAAGGGAAUUGGAGUCCUAGGUUCAGACCAAUUACUAUAUAAUGACACUAGAACAAGGCCAUUUGUUGAAUUAUAUGCUAAAGAUAGCAAUGCUUUUGCUACUGAUUUUGCUGUUGCAAUGGAGAAACUAAGUGUAUAUCAAGUCAAGAUUGGUAAUCAAGGAGAGGUGAGGAAGAGAUGUGAUGCUGUUAACAAUGCUCACCCUUGAAAGAGAAUAGAGAAAGAAAAUGCCAUGAAUUUUUUCUAUGGUUUUGUUUGAUUUUUUAAUGAACCAAGAACUCUCCAUUAUGAUGUGUAGAAUUUGUACUUAUGAUGAUGAAUGGUAUAUUGGAUAAGAAAAUCAUUAGUAUUGUGAUUAUUUUUAUCAAUCUAGUGUAAGUUUUGCAUGUUAAACAAUGGGAAUAAUGGGGGUCCCCUUCCUUUCUGAAAUUUGGUUCCAUCAUAAAUUUAGAGAAUGUAUGUUUACUUGAUAUUUAAAACUACAAGGGAGUA
RNAcentral lists this long non-coding RNA (603 nucleotides) under Nicotiana tabacum (common tobacco). RNAcentral describes it as "long non-coding RNA (NTAB_LNC012129)". Lineage: Eukaryota; Viridiplantae; Streptophyta; Magnoliopsida; Solanales; Solanaceae. The record is from RNAcentral.